AACGCUAGCUACAGGCUUAACACAUGCAAGUCGAGGGGAAACGAUAUUGGAAGCUUGCUUCCGAUAGGCGUCGACCGGCGCACGGGUGAGUAACGCGUAUCCCACCUGCCCAUCACUUGGGAAUAACCUUGCGAAAGUAAGACUAAUGCCCAAUGACAUUUAUAGAAGGCAUCUGAAAUGAAUUAAAGAUUUAUCGGUGAUGGAUGGGGAUGCGUCUGAUUAGCUUGUUGGCGGGGUAACGGCCCACCAAGGCGACGAUCAGUAGGGGUUCUGAGAGGAAGGUCCCCCACAUUGGAACUGAGACACGGUCCAAACUCCUACGGGAGGCAGCAGUGAGGAAUAUUGGUCAAUGGGCGAGAGCCUGAACCAGCCAAGUAGCGUGCAGGAAGACGGCCCUAUGGGUUGUAAACUGCUUUUAUAGGGGAAUAAAGUGAUCCACGUGUGGUUUUUUGCAUGUACCCUAUGAAUAAGGACCGGCUAAUUCCGUGCCAGCAGCCGCGGUAAUACGGAAGGUCCGGGCGUUAUCCGGAUUUAUUGGGUUUAAAGGGAGCGUAGGCCGGAGAUUAAGCGUGUUGUGAAAUGUAGACGCUCAACGUCUGCACUGCAGCGCGAACUGGUUUCCUUGAGUACGCAUAAAGUGGGCGGAAUUCGUGGUGUAGCGGUGAAAUGCUUAGAUAUCACGAAGAACUCCGAUUG
This 696-nucleotide ribosomal RNA is filed under the name uncultured bacterium. RNAcentral's name for it is "bacterial SSU rRNA". It matches the Rfam family "Bacterial small subunit ribosomal RNA", at positions 32 to 715 of the family's 1533-position model. The record is from RNAcentral.